RNAcentral lists this transfer RNA (75 nucleotides) under Clostridiales bacterium. RNAcentral's name for it is "tRNA-Gln". It matches the Rfam family "tRNA". Rfam says of the family: Transfer RNA (tRNA) molecules are approximately 80 nucleotides in length. Their secondary structure includes four short double-helical elements and three loops (D, anti-codon, and T loops). Lineage: Bacteria; Bacillati; Bacillota; Clostridia; Eubacteriales. The record is from RNAcentral.
AGGGGUGUCGCCAAGCGGUAAGGCAUCAGACUUUGACUCUGACAUUCGUAGGUUCAAAUCCUGCCACCCCUGCCA